Non-coding RNA from Pelobates cultripes (western spadefoot toad), 571 nucleotides. NCBI's taxonomy places the organism in Eukaryota, Metazoa, Chordata, Amphibia, Anura, Pelobatidae. The record is from the annotation of a GenBank genome assembly.
GCGGAUCACAAUAUGUCGGUAAACGAAGCACCCACCAGAAAAACCUUUGAUGUGGUUGCGCCUGAACCGAGUGAGCGCCAAAACAAGAGUUUACACCCGCUGGGGAUAUCCACCAGAAAAAUAAAUAAUAAGAGCUCUGACUAGGGUGUCCAUAGAGGAGAGUUACGCUCCACCUAUCCUAGUAAAGUGUCCACCAUGCAGAAGCGGGAAACAGUCCAAAAAAUGAGACGGAGGGAAGUUCCAUCUUAGUCUGACGCGAGUUAGAAAUCUCAGAAUGAAGGAAAAACUGCCUACGCUGAACGCUCGAAUGUCCCCAAUCCGUCAAAACAAAAGGACACAAAAGUGUAAGUAUCGCCGAGAGUUGGCGCAAUGACAAUUUUGUAUUGUCUGGCCAUACACAACAAAAAUGUAAAACUAGAUCGAUGUGCCACAUACGCGAGUAUUUGGGAGCGGGUGGUCUAGCCAGACAAAUCCCCCUUAGAAGGUGACAGACCAGAGGGUUCUGACCAAUAAGAGUCCCCUGUAGGGGGCAUGAGCUGCCAAGAUAGCCGAACGUGUAACAUUGAUAGGG